RNAcentral lists this ribosomal RNA (383 nucleotides) under uncultured Aerococcus sp. Its description in RNAcentral is "bacterial SSU rRNA". It matches the Rfam family "Bacterial small subunit ribosomal RNA", at positions 157 to 524 of the family's 1533-position model. Lineage: Bacteria; Bacillati; Bacillota; Bacilli; Lactobacillales; Aerococcaceae. The record is from RNAcentral.
CGGGUGCUAAUACCGCAUAGGAAGUUUAUUCGCAUGAACAAACUUAGAAAGAUGGCUCUGCUAUCACUUAUCGAUGGCCUUGCGGUGCAUUAACUAGUUGGCGAGGUAACGGCUCACCAAGGUGAUGAUGCAUAGCCCGACCCCUGAGAGGGUAAUCGGCCACAUUGGGACUGAGACACGGCCCAAACUCCUACGGGAGGCAGCAGUAGGGAAUCUUCCGCAAUGGACGCAAGUCUGACGGAGCAACGCCGCGUGAGUGAAGAAGGUUUUCGGAUCGUAAAACUCUGUUGUAAGAGAAGAACAAAUUGUAGAGUAACUGCUACAGUCUUGACGGUAUCUUACCAGAAAGCCACGGCUAACUACGUGCCAGCAGCCGCGGUAAU